AGAGUUUGAUCCUGGCUCAGAUUGAACGCUGGCGGCAUGGUUAAAGCAUGCAAGUCGAACGCGAAAGUAUUUCGGUACGAGUAGAGUGGCGGAAGGGCGAGGAAUAUAUUUCUAACGUGCCCCAAGGUAAGGGAUAGCAUCGGGAAACUGAUGGUAAUACCUUAUAACCCCGUAGGAUCGUAUGGUCCAGCGGGCAAAGGCUUGCUGCCUUGGGAUCGGGAAAUAUGCUAUCAGCUUGUUGGUAAGGUAAUGGCUUACCAAGGCUUAGACGGCUAGCGGGUGUGAGAGCACGACCCGCCGCAUCGGGACUGAGACACUGCCCGGACUCCUACGGGAGGCUGCAGCGACGAAUAUUCCGCAAUGGACGAAAGUCUGACGGAGCAAUGCCGCGUGUGGGAUGAAGCCCCUUGGGGUGUAAACCACUGUCAGAGACUACUAAUACAAUGAAGAAUCUCAAAGGAAGGGCCGGCUAACUUCGUGCCAGCAGCCGCGGUAAUACGAAGGGCCCGAGCGUUAAUCGGAAUCACUGGGCUUAAAGGGUGUGUAGGCUGUUUUGUAAGUAUCUUGUGAAAUCCCAAGGCUCAACCUUGGAACUGCUGGGUAUACUGCAAAACUUGAGGUCGGUAGGGGCAGCUGGAACAAUAGGUGGAGCGGUGAAAUGCGUAGAUAUCUAUUGGAACGCCAAAGGCGAAGGCAAGCUGCUGGGCCGAAUCUGACGCUGAGACACGAAAGCGUGGGUAUCGAACGGGAUUAGAUACCCCGGUAGUCCACGCCGUAAACGAUGUACACUAGUUCGAGAGGGCUCUGACGCCAGCUUGGACGAAGCUAAAGUGUUUAGUGUACCGCCUGGGGAGUACGGUCGCAAGACUAAAACUCAAAGGAAUUGACGGGGGCUCACACAAGCGGUGGAGCAUGUGGCUUAAUUCGAGGCAACGCGAAGAACCUUAUCCAGGGUUUGACAUGUAUGGAUUAACUUUCCGAAAGGAGAGCCACACUCUUUGAGUGGAACAUACACAGGUGCUGCAUGGCUGUCGUCAGCUCGUGCUGUG
RNAcentral lists this ribosomal RNA (1049 nucleotides) under marine metagenome. RNAcentral's name for it is "bacterial SSU rRNA". It matches the Rfam family "Bacterial small subunit ribosomal RNA", at positions 8 to 1069 of the family's 1533-position model. The record is from RNAcentral.